RNAcentral lists this ribosomal RNA (587 nucleotides) under endosymbiont of Sphenophorus levis. RNAcentral's name for it is "bacterial SSU rRNA". It matches the Rfam family "Bacterial small subunit ribosomal RNA", at positions 356 to 906 of the family's 1533-position model. Lineage: Bacteria; Pseudomonadati; Pseudomonadota; Gammaproteobacteria. The record is from RNAcentral.
AUGGGAACUUCUGGCAUGGACGAAAGCCUGACGGUGUAACGCCGCGUGAGCUGAAGAACCGUUUUCGGAUCGUAAAACUCUGUUGGUAGAGAACGAACGUUGGUGAGAGUGGAAACGCUCAUCAAGUGACGGUAACUACCCAGAAAUGGGACGGCUAACUACGUGCCAGCAGCCGCGGUAAUACGUAGCGUCCCGAGCGUCUGUACCGGAUUUAUUUGGGCGUAAACGCCGAGCGCAGGUGCGUUUCAUUAAGUCUGGUGUAAAAGGCAGUGGCUACAACCAUAUGUAUGCAUUGGAAACUGGAUAGACUUGAGUGACAGGAGAGGAGCAGUGGAAUUCCAUGUGCUAGCGGUGAAAUGCGUAGAUAUAUGGAGGAACACCGGUGGCGAAAGCGGCUCUCUGGCCCUGUAACUGACACCUGAGGCUCGAAAGACGUGGGGAGCAAACAGGAUUAGAUACCCUGGUAGUCCACGCCGUCAAACGAUGAGUGCUAGCAUGUAGGGAGCUUAUAAGUUCUCUGUAUCAGCAGCUAACGCAAUUAUGCAUCUCCGCCUGGGGAGUACGACACGCGAGGUUGAAACUUCAAA